Long non-coding RNA from Oncorhynchus tshawytscha (Chinook salmon), 1051 nucleotides. NCBI's taxonomy places the organism in Eukaryota, Metazoa, Chordata, Actinopteri, Salmoniformes, Salmonidae. The record is from Ensembl.
GUGUGUGUGUGUGUGUGUGUUUGGGGAGAGAGAGUUUGUGUGUGUGUUUGGAGAGAGAGAAAGGUUGGUUAAUAGUCCCUACCUCCUUCACUAAUCAUGCAUACAUCAAUGUCAGAUAAGGGGUCAGGGGUCAAAAUGCAAUGAUUCCCAAUUGGACUGAAAUAAAUCCCUCCUCCCAGAGGGAGAAGGCACCAGCUAGGCUCACAGUGCAUUAAAACAGCAGACACCAAGCUAGCAGAUAACGAGGGGGCCAGCCUCAGAGAUACCCCACCUCCCAGUCCGCUGGUCCCUGGGGCUUCAGCUUCCUGGAGAUAAUGAUGGGAUGGACACACUAACAAAACAACAGCACUGGGGAAAAUCCUCUCCAGCCUUCCACCCAUGUGAGACCAGACCAGUUCCAAAGCCUAGACCAGAACAGCCCAGUCUAUCCCAGACCAGAACAGCCCAGUCUAUCCCAGACCAGAACAGCCCAGUCUAUCCCAGACCAGAACAGCCCAGUCUAUCCCAGACCAGAACAGCCCAGUCUAUCCCAGACCAGAACAGCCCAGUCUAUCCCAGACCAGAACAGCCCAGUCUAUCCCAGACCAGAACAGCCCAGUCUAUCCCAGACCAGAUGAAAACAGUCUAGACAGACAGAGAUGGAUAGAGAGAUGUGUGCUGUUAGGUUCACAUCAACUUCCUCAUAUUAUUGCUAGCCCUAGCUCAUGUCAGCAGGGGAAAUGUAGCCGUUUUCUGCCCCAGAGUCCAGAGUCCAGAGCCCAGAGCCCAGAGUCCAGAGUCCAGAGUCCAGAUCCCAGAUCCCAGAGUCCAGAUCCCAGAGUCCAGAUCCCAGAUCCCAGAGUCCAGAGCCCAGAGUCCAGAGUCCAGAGCCCAGAGUCCAGAGUCCAGAGCACAGAGCCCAGAGUCCAGAGUCCAGAGUCCAGAUCCCAGAUCCCAGAGUCCAGAGUCCAGAGCCCAGAGUCCAGAGCCCAGAGCCCAGAGUCCAGAGCCCAGAGUCCAGAGUCCAGAGUCCAGAGCACAGAUCCCAGAGUCCAGAGCCCAGAGUCCAGAG